RNAcentral lists this ribosomal RNA (1863 nucleotides) under Triticum aestivum (bread wheat). Its description in RNAcentral is "partial small subunit ribosomal RNA". The record is from RNAcentral. Lineage: Eukaryota; Viridiplantae; Streptophyta; Magnoliopsida; Poales; Poaceae.
AUGGAGACUGAUCAGACACCACAGGAGCUACCUCCCCAGGCGAUGGAGGUGGUGAAUGCACUUGCGGUUGCUGAGGUUCCUGGGAUUGCGAAGGAGGCUGAGGUGGUUCAAGUGGCUGAUUCUGAGAGGGCAUCCAAGUACGCUCGGAAGAAAGAGAGAAUGCUUUGUUACCGGUGCGGAGAGAAGGGGCACUUCAUCGCGGAGUGUGUGGCCCAGCUGUGCGAAUCCUGUGGUAAGCCUGCGCAUGCUUCAGGGGAUUGUCCUUUGCUGAGGGACCAUAUUCCAGCUCUUACUGUAUAUGGUGUGUACUCUGCGGAGCUGAUGUUCUUCGAGUCAGCGGCUGCGAGGGAGAUCCCAGCUGAUACACAGAGCCUUACUUCUGGUUUGGUCAAGGUGACACAGGGAGAUGUCUCCCAGGCUCAGAUUGUGCAGAGACUUCAGGAGUUGGCUCCGGGUGAUUUUCAGUGGGACCUCGUACCCGUUGAGGAUAGAGUAUUCAGAGUGGAGUUUCCUUCGAUUGAGGACUUGCAGCGUUUGUUGAGCUUUGGGAUGUGUAAGGUGCCAGGCACCAAAGGUAUUUUGGAGUUCCACGAGUGGAAGAAAGUUGAGCCUAAGGGGAAGCCUCUUACUCAGGUGUGGCUGCGUUUCUCGGGGGCACCGUCUGAGGCUCUUUCUGAUGUGCGUGUGGUGGCUAGUUUGGGGAUUAUGGUUGGUAAGACGGAGAAAGUGGAUAUGGCGUUCACUAGAGCUCAGGGGGUGGCUCGACUGCGAGUUAGCAUUCUGGAUAUUGAGUAUGUCCCGGACGUCAUCAACUGGACCUAUAGAGGCGAGGUGUUUCCACUUGAUAUUGAGUUUGAGGAUGCAGAGUUGUUUGCUGAGGUUGCUGCUGGCACUGACGUGGAUAUGCACGAUGGGGGUGAUGAUACAGGUGCUCCCAGGGAGCAGGCGAAUGAGGCAGCACAGGAGCCCAAUGGAUCGGGGCCUGCUGCUCAGGAGCCGGAGAACGGAGCCGGGAUGGAGCAGUCCCCGGCUUCGUCUUUGCCUCAUAACUCACUGCGGUUUGGAUCUUUUCUGCCGUCGUCGGCGCCUCCUCGUCUGUGGAGUGAUCGGGUUGACUCUGACGAUGCGUUCGAGCAUUCGCUACCGGUCUUGGACUUUGGGCGGUCACCCCGGCAGUCGGCCAGCUUCAGUGCCCGUGUUGUUCAAGAGGUGGAGCCUCAGGAGUCGCCAGGGCGAUCUAGGUCUUCGGUUUCCUCGCGGAGGGGAGGGGCGUCUGGGCAGGUGGCCACGACUCCCUCUCAUUCUUCUGUUUCACAGCAGGCGGCGCAGGUACCUGUGUCCAGCCGGGGCGACAUAUCUUUGGGGCAGGAGGCCCUGGAGGUCCGUCUCGCGGGAGCCUUGUUGGUGGUGGGGUCGCCGGAGGUCCUGCAGGUGGAGCGCACGGCUGCUACGGCGUCGGCUGGGGGGGUCGGACUAGGGCAGGAGGCCCUGGUGCCAACUCCGUCAGGCAUCUCCACAUCUCCUACGCGGUCCCCCUCUCCCAGACCUACUCCGGGAGCCGCUACUCGGGAGGAGGUGAUCGCGUUCGGAGGGAUCCGAGACCCUGCUUCCGAGGGGAGGCGGACGAGCUCUCGUCUCCAGGACCUUCCGGAGGUUGAUGAUUUGCAGCAGAGGUGCGCUAUGCGGGCGGCCAAGCUGCGUGAUGUGGAGAGCACAACAGGUUAUCUUCCGUGCAACGGCUCUUAUCCGUUCCUGGUCGCUACUCACUCCGACGGAGGCCAGGGAGCUUUUGGUUACUGCUGCUAUCCGAUGGGAGAUGGUAGCUCGGGAUAUAUUCAGCCGGUUUGGAUGGCGGUCGUGUAA